GAUGAACGCUGGCGGCGUGCUUAACACAUGCAAGUCGAACGGACUUAUUUUAUGAAGCUUGCUUCGCGAGAUAAGUUAGUGGCGGACGGGUGAGUAACGCGUGGGUAACCUGCCUCAUACAGGGGGGAUAACAGUUAGAAAUGACUGCUAAUACCGCAUAAGCGCACAGUACCGCAUGGUACGGUGUGAAAACCUCCGGUGGUAUGAGAUGGACCCCGCGUCUGAUUAGCUAGUUGGUGAGGUAACGGACUACCAAGGCGACGAUCAGUAGCUGGUUUGAGAGGAUGAUCAGCCACAAUGGGACUGAGACACGGGCCCAUACUCCUACGGGAGGCAGCAGUAGGGAAUUUUGCGCAAUGGGC
Molecule: ribosomal RNA, 362 nt
Filed under: uncultured bacterium
Lineage: Bacteria
Description: bacterial SSU rRNA
Rfam family: Bacterial small subunit ribosomal RNA
Source: RNAcentral